UGGGGAAUAUUGCACAAUGGGGGAAACCCUGAUGCAGCGACGCCGCGUGAACGAAGAAGGUAUUCGUAUCGUAAAGUUCUGUCCUAUGGGAAGAUAAUGACAGUACCAUAGAAGAAAGCUCCGGCUAAAUACGUGCCAGCAGCCGCGGUAAUACGUAUGGAGCGAGCGUUGUCCGGAAUUAUUGGGCGUAAAGGGUACGCAGGCGGUUUAAUAAGUCGAAUGUUAAAGAUCGGGGCUCAACCCCGCAAAGCAUUGGAAACUGAUAAACUUGAGUAGUGGAGAGGAAAGUGGAAUUCCUAGUGUAGUGGUGAAAUACGUAGAUAUUAGGAGGAAUACCAGUAGCGAAGGUGACUUUCUGGACACAAACUGACGCUGAGGUACGAAAGCGUGGGGAGCAAACAGG
This 403-nucleotide ribosomal RNA is filed under the name bacterium. RNAcentral's name for it is "partial 16S ribosomal RNA". It matches the Rfam family "Bacterial small subunit ribosomal RNA", at positions 355 to 776 of the family's 1533-position model. The record is from RNAcentral.